This 92-nucleotide transfer RNA is filed under the name Azospirillum brasilense. Its description in RNAcentral is "tRNA-Ser". It matches the Rfam family "tRNA". Rfam says of the family: Transfer RNA (tRNA) molecules are approximately 80 nucleotides in length. Their secondary structure includes four short double-helical elements and three loops (D, anti-codon, and T loops). RNAcentral also lists the same sequence under 1 other name. Lineage: Bacteria; Pseudomonadati; Pseudomonadota; Alphaproteobacteria; Rhodospirillales; Azospirillaceae. The record is from RNAcentral.
GGAGGGGUGGCCGAGUGGCUGAAGGCGACGGUUUGCUAAAUCGUUGUACGGUUAAUCCCGUACCGUGGGUUCGAAUCCCAUCCCCUCCUCCA